GGGGAAGUAGCUCAAUUGGUAGAGCACAAUCAUCGAACUGAUUAUGUUAUUAGUGAUGUGGUUUCUUGCUUGAAACAAGGGUCGAGGUUCGAUUCCUCGCUUCUCCA
This 107-nucleotide transfer RNA is filed under the name Daucus carota subsp. sativus. RNAcentral's name for it is "tRNA trnX-cga". It matches the Rfam family "tRNA". Rfam says of the family: Transfer RNA (tRNA) molecules are approximately 80 nucleotides in length. Their secondary structure includes four short double-helical elements and three loops (D, anti-codon, and T loops). The record is from Rfam by way of RNAcentral. Lineage: Eukaryota; Viridiplantae; Streptophyta; Magnoliopsida; Apiales; Apiaceae.